AGUUGACUUCGAAAGGGCCAGAUUCUUAAAUCAAAGGUUGGAAGAGGAACCAAAACCUCUGCUAAAGAAGCAGAAAACCCGGUCUAGACAGGCUAAGACAAGCUUUUUCGAGGUAUUCAAGGACAGUAUUCUUAUAGGAGACGUAGAGAAAGAUUAUCGGAUAACAUGUUGGUAGUGAUGACGAAUACUAUUAUUGGCACUCGCGAGGAUGUUAGAGUGAUGGAAUUGGAAGAACAUUUCAGUCAGACCGCGAGCGGAGGAUGUUGAUGAUGGAGCGGACUAUGUAUUCAAUCUUACUUAACUUCUGAAGGCCAGACAGUCACAAAAUAAUUGCUGCCAGUGUUCAACUAUAGUUUGGCACAUCUACAUAUUUGGAUCCGCUUUCAAAAUCUUACCGUAUAGAAAUUCUUAAAUAAAACUUGCUGUUAAAUUUUUGAAUGUAUUUCCCAUUCAACCGUGCAGUACCAUAGAAAUAGAGAACUUUGUGCGAAGGACUUGGACCAUUUAA
Long non-coding RNA from Ceratitis capitata (Mediterranean fruit fly), 508 nucleotides. RefSeq lists it as uncharacterized. Lineage: Eukaryota; Metazoa; Arthropoda; Insecta; Diptera; Tephritidae. The record is from RefSeq and is a predicted model, not a curated record. The transcript is spliced from 2 exons.